CGGAUGGAUACCCUAUGUGUUUCUACCAGUGUUUUUGGGAGGUCCUGAAGGAAGAUAUCAUGAACACUUUGCAACAUUUUCAUUCUCACCAGGUCUUUGAAAGAAGUUUCAAUGCGACUUAUGUGGCUCUCAUUCCCAAGAAAAUUGGAGCUGCUGCAUUAAGGGAUUAUAGACCUAUCAGUCUCAUCAGUGGGGUCUGUAAAA
Solanum verrucosum is the source of this 204-nucleotide long non-coding RNA. RefSeq lists it as uncharacterized. NCBI's taxonomy places the organism in Eukaryota, Viridiplantae, Streptophyta, Magnoliopsida, Solanales, Solanaceae. The record is from RefSeq and is a predicted model, not a curated record. The transcript has 2 exons.